GAUGAAGAACGUAGCGAAAUGCGAUAAGUAAUGUGAAUUGCAGAAUUCAGUGAAUCAUCGAAUCUUUGAACGCACAUUGCGCCCCCCAGUAUUCUGGCGGGCAUGCCUGUUCGAGCGUCAUUUCAACCAUCAAGCCCUGCUUGUGUUGGGGCCCUGCGGCUGCCCGCAGGCCCUGAAAACCAGUGGCGGGCUCGCUAGUCACACCGAGCGCAGUAGCACAUCUCGCUCAGGGCGUGCGGCGGGCUCCAGCCGUUAAAGCACCCACCUUUCGCAAGGUUGACCUCGGAUCAGGUAGGAAUACCCGCUGAACUUAAGCAUAUCAAUAAGCGGAGGA
RNAcentral lists this unclassified non-coding RNA (334 nucleotides) under soil metagenome. RNAcentral describes it as "partial contains 5.8S ribosomal RNA, internal transcribed spacer 2, and large subunit ribosomal RNA". The stretch from base 1 to 120 matches the Rfam family "5.8S ribosomal RNA", at positions 35 to 154 of the family's 154-position model. The record is from RNAcentral.